UACAGAGGUCUCAAGCGUUGUUCGGAUUCAUUGGGCGUAAAGGGUGCGUAGGCGGCGCGGUAAGUCGGGUGUGAAAUCUCGGAGCUUAACUCCGAAACUGCAUUCGAUACUGCCGUGCUUGAGGACUGGAGAGGAGACUGGAAUUUACGGUGUAGCGGUGAGAUGCGUAGAUAUCGUAAGGAAGACCAGUGGCGAAGGCGGGUCUCUGGACAGUUCCUGACGCUGAGGCACGAAGGCCAGGGGAGCAAACGGG
This 253-nucleotide ribosomal RNA is filed under the name uncultured bacterium. Its description in RNAcentral is "partial 16S ribosomal RNA". It matches the Rfam family "Bacterial small subunit ribosomal RNA", at positions 524 to 776 of the family's 1533-position model. The record is from RNAcentral.